GGUGUUUUGGUUGUGCAUAUAAAUAUGGUUUUAAAAUUUAAAAUCAGAUCAGAUUUGAAUUGGUAUAACUAAAUCUGAAAAUAAAAAACAGGGAAAACGAAGAAAACAAAAUUGAAAACAUAAAAUAAAUUAAAAAAAGAAGCCUACCUCACAUGACGGUCGACCUCUCCCUGGCCUAUUUCACUCAUCGCUCAGCCCAUGUCCCUUUGCAUUUUUUAAUCAUUUUCUUUAUUGACUAGACGUGGAUUACAUGAGCAUGACAUCAUCAAGCAAGCAAAUGGAGCUCUCCAGCCGAGCCGCAUGACCCCUUGCUCACGACCUGGUUCAAUGACAAGUAGGACCCACGUUUAGAAGCUUCUCUCCUUUGCAUGGACGUAGCAACAGACUCUGGUAGUUCCGAUUUUUUCCCUUGCACCAAAUCGUAACAAACAAAACCCGAUUCCCUGGGCGCUGGUGUAUAUAUAGGUACAGACCGUGGCCUCACGCCAUCUUCAAGCCGUCACGAACAUCUUGGAGGAGGACGGAGGGAUCAACCACCGAGAGAGCACGUAGCUUGGAGAGAGAGGGAUCCGACCGAUCGCACGACCGCCGUCGCGGAGGCCUCGUGUGCGCGCUGCUGUCAACCUGCCUCCAUGUUGUUGCUCCAAGCCAGUCAACGGCCUCUCGCGUUGCUCGUCGCUCCCAGCACGCGGCCUCGCGCCCUCGCCCAGUUUUGCUCUCCCUUCGUCGCUUUGUGGAUCUGCCAGCGUCUGGGCAUAGCGGCGCCGCCGUCCUCAGAUCAGAGGGUAGGAGAACCCGCG
This 800-nucleotide long non-coding RNA is filed under the name Zea mays. Its description in RNAcentral is "long non-coding RNA NONZMAT004459". Lineage: Eukaryota; Viridiplantae; Streptophyta; Magnoliopsida; Poales; Poaceae. The record is from RNAcentral.